CUGGUGAACAUGAUGGAGGUUUUCCUUGUGUCUUAAACUUCGUCUUUGAAACGCAGUGGUGACGGGGACGAUGGUCUGACGCCUGCGUUCAGAGCACGCUGUCUGGUCGCUGAUCGGGCACGAGCAGAACAGCAUGCCAUAGCUGUGCUUUGGAGGAACCUGUGAGGCAACAGGAACAUUACCUGUGAGUUAUCCAGCAAAACAAGUGGCCAUCAAACACUGAGCUCGUGUCAGAAGUGCCUUGCCUUGUCAAAGAACUGCCGCAGGGCCUUGUGGCACUUCCUCUUGUUGCAGACUUCGGCGGUGGAGACGCGGCUGGUGCAGGGGCUGAUGCUCACCUAAAAACAUGUCAAGGAGAGACGCGGGGACGGGGAAGAUGGAUUGGAAAAGAAGACAGAGAAUAAAGGGUUCUACACAGCACACCGAGAGGACACCAACAGAUCAUCUCACAGAAGCAAAUUGGACUCUGCAGGCUGAAGCAUCUCAGUGAAAGUGUACAGAAGUGUAGAAAAAGAGAGAAUGACUGAGUAAAACAGGCAGAGAGCCAGCAGCUUAAUGAAUUCUCUCAAAAUGAGUAGAAUACCCCAGCAGCACGUGUCUGUCUCUAUCUGUGUGUGUGUGUGUGUCAGCUGAUACAAAUGUUUGUUUUCAUGUAUUUUCUGCAUCUGUGUGUGUGUGUGUGUGUUUGUGUGUUU
Molecule: long non-coding RNA, 695 nt
Organism: Acanthopagrus latus (yellowfin seabream)
Lineage: Eukaryota; Metazoa; Chordata; Actinopteri; Spariformes; Sparidae
Exons: 6
Source: RefSeq, a predicted model, not a curated record